Molecule: ribosomal RNA, 520 nt
Filed under: uncultured Glomus
Lineage: Eukaryota; Fungi; Glomeromycota; Glomeromycetes; Glomerales; Glomeraceae
Description: SSU rRNA
Rfam family: Eukaryotic small subunit ribosomal RNA
Source: RNAcentral
AGCAGCCGCGGUAAUUCCAGCUCCAAUAGCGUAUAUUAAAGUUGUUGCAGUUAAAAAGCUCGUAGUUGAAUUUCGGGGUCAGCAGGUUGGUCGUGCCACUGGUAUGUACUGGUCUCGCUGAUUCCUCCCUCUUGUAGAACCGUAAUGCCAUUAAGUUGGUGUUGCGGGGAAACAGGACUGUUACUUUGAAAAAAUUAGAGUGUUUAAAGCAGGCUAACGCUUGAAUACAUUAGCAUGGAAUAAUGAAAUAGGACGAUCGAUCCUAUUUUGUUGGUUUCUAGGGUUGACGUAAUGAUUAAUAGGGAUAGUUGGGGCAUUAGUAUUCAAUUGUCAGAGGUGAAAUUCUUGGAUUUAUUGAAGACUAACUACUGCGAAAGCAUUUGCCAAGGAUGUUUUCAUUAAUCUAAGAACGAAAGUUAGGGGAUCGAAGACGAUCAGAUACCGUCGUAGUCUUAACCAUAAACUAUGCCGACUAGGGAUCGGAUGAUGUUAAUUUUUAAUGUACUCAUUCGGCGCCUUA